UUUCUGUCUAGCUUUUUUCCAAUAUAAAUUUAAAAAUCACCUUGUUUAAUUUUAUUUACAAAAAAAUCAAUUGCUAAUUUUACUUGGAUCAUAUUAAGUAUAUAAAUUAAGUUAGGGCAGAAUGAAAGUAAAUAGUGUUUUUAUCCAAAAGUAUGGCAGGUUUUUAUUCUUUUGUGACCUUCAGAAGAGUUGUAGAUAUCAAAAAUAUGUGCAGACUUAGUGAAAUUCAAUAUUAAGAAAAAUGUGCAAAAGUUUUGAAUAAUUAUUUUGUGGAGAAGAUAUAAAAAUAAACAACAAAUAUGGAAAUUUGCUCUAUGUUUUAAAUCAUAAAACAAAUGUAAAUUAAAACCACAAUCUGGGGAAUAGAAAGACAUUAGAAAACCAUUACCAAAG
Molecule: long non-coding RNA, 393 nt
Filed under: Marmota monax (woodchuck)
Lineage: Eukaryota; Metazoa; Chordata; Mammalia; Rodentia; Sciuridae
Source: RNAcentral